UACUAUAUAGAUUGUUGGUAAAAAAAUGAUUCAAGAAGGAACUUCUGCUUCAAAAUAAAAUUUAAAUUAAGCACAAUGAAAAAGUAUUUUCAAUGAUACACUAAAACCGUGUACGUACAAAGAACACUCAACUAGUACUUUGCAACAUUGCUAGAUAUUUGGUUAAGUAUGUCAAAUAAGUAACAUCAAAUAAAAAUAAUUAGUAUUGUCAUGCUAAAAGUAAUUUAUAUAUAGUACAAAAGUUUAGUUUAGAUUAGUAUUGUUUAGUUUCUUGACAUGGACGUUUAGGACGAAGUCGAUGACAACAGGGGGCAGUGCUCUGGAAUCGGCAUGCCAACAUCAGAACACACCUCCUCAAUUGAUUAGAGGGCAACAACUACGCAUGCCAUCCCGUAGUCUGAGUCAGCUGACUUGAGUGCGGUUCCAAAACUGUACCAAAUUGAUUCCACUGCUCCUUAUCCUCGUCCUCUUCCUAUGAUACCCACCAAAUUACGGGCCACCUGUGGAGAUCGUGCAUAGCAUAUGUCGAGUUUGAGAUAUGUUGGUCAGACAUAGAUGCUCAGGUACAUAUGCCAUUGUGUCACGUCAACCGCAGUUCACGCAAAAAGAGUAGGCACUAGUUGCUACUUAGUGCCAUCAACCCCCUGCAAUAAUUCUAGUAACAUGUGUUGCGUGGAGGUGGGAAAAUUGGGUUUCGACGGACUAAGAUGCCCUCCAGGACCGCCUGGAAAACUGUCGACAGACCCUGAUUCAUUGGUGACAUCACCAACAUGGGACCACACGUGGGCAAAACUGAGUAGCGCCAAUGGCGGCACACGAUGCACAUCGCGUUGAUGCUCCACCAUGACAGCACCAGACGAGUGAAAAUCGCUUAUAAAGAUUUCUCUCUUAGACAAGAUAGAUUAAUUAUGUAAAUCAACCCUCUUUCCUGCUUAUGUCACAUGUUUGCUUCCUCUGUCCCUUCUCUCACAGGAGGAGACAUGCAAGAGAGAAGGGGGCGUGGAAGAUGAUUUCGACGAUGACCCGCACAUGAGAGAAGGGGGUCAACGGCGACAAAGUCUGAUCUUGAUCUACAAGUAAUAGUCGG
This 1087-nucleotide long non-coding RNA is filed under the name Hordeum vulgare. Its description in RNAcentral is "long non-coding RNA (HVUL_LNC018089)". Lineage: Eukaryota; Viridiplantae; Streptophyta; Magnoliopsida; Poales; Poaceae. The record is from RNAcentral.